RNAcentral lists this ribosomal RNA (253 nucleotides) under uncultured bacterium. RNAcentral's name for it is "partial 16S ribosomal RNA". It matches the Rfam family "Bacterial small subunit ribosomal RNA", at positions 524 to 776 of the family's 1533-position model. The record is from RNAcentral.
UACAGAGGGUGCAAGCGUUAAUCGGAAUUACUGGGCGUAAAGCGCACGUAGGCGGUUUUUUAAGUCAGAUGUGAAAUCCCCGGGCUCAACCUGGGAACUGCUUUCAAAACUGCUGAGCUAGAGUACGGUAGAGGGUGGUGGAAUUUCCUGUGUAGCGGUGAAAUGCGUAGAUAUAGGAAGGAACACCAGUGGCGAAGGCGACCACCUGGACUGAUACUGACACUGAGGUGCGAAAGCGUGGGGAGCAAACAGG